CCUACGGGCGGCUGCAGUGGGGAAUAUUGGACAAUGGGCGCAAGCCUGAUCCAGCAAUGCCGCGUGUGUGAAGAAGGCCUGCGGGUUGUAAAGCACUUUUGUUCGGGAAGAAAACGGAUCGGUUAAUACCCGGUUCGGAUGACGGUACCGAAAGAAUAAGCACCGGCUAACUUCGUGCCAGCAGCCGCGGUAAUACGAAGGGUGCAAGCGUUAAUCGGAAUUACUGGGCGUAAAGCGUGCGUAGGCGGCUUUUUAAGUCGGAUGUGAAAUCCCCGGGCUCAACCUGGGAAUGGCAUCCGAUACUGGGGAGCUAGAGUUUGGGAGAGGGUGGUGGAAUUCCCGGUGUAGCGGUGAAAUGCGUAGAGAUCGGGAGGAACAUCAGUGGCGAAGGCGGCCACCUGGCCUAAAACUGACGCUGAGGCACGAAAGCGUGGGGAGCAAACAGGCUUAGAUACCCCGGUAGUC
This 465-nucleotide ribosomal RNA is filed under the name uncultured Lysobacteraceae bacterium. RNAcentral's name for it is "bacterial SSU rRNA". It matches the Rfam family "Bacterial small subunit ribosomal RNA", at positions 338 to 795 of the family's 1533-position model. The record is from RNAcentral. Lineage: Bacteria; Pseudomonadati; Pseudomonadota; Gammaproteobacteria; Lysobacterales; Lysobacteraceae.